Molecule: ribosomal RNA, 298 nt
Filed under: uncultured bacterium
Lineage: Bacteria
Description: partial 16S ribosomal RNA
Rfam family: Bacterial small subunit ribosomal RNA
Source: RNAcentral
CUCCGUGCCAGCAGCCGCGGUAAUACGGAGGGUGCGAGCGUUAAUCGGAAUUACUGGGCGUAAAGCGCAUGCAGGCGGCUUGUUAAGUCAGAUGUGAAAGACCCGGGGCGUUAACCUCGGAAUUGCAUUUGAAACUGGCAGGCUAGAGUCUUGUAGAGGGGGGUAGGAAUUUCAGGUGUAGCGGUGAAAUAGCGUAGAGAUCUGAAGGAAUACCAGUGGCGAAGGCGGCCCCCCUGGACAAAGACUGACGCUCAGAUGCGAAAGCGUGGGGAGCAAACAGGAUUAGAUACCCUGGUAG